This is a long non-coding RNA of Lagenorhynchus albirostris (white-beaked dolphin), 569 nucleotides long. RefSeq lists it as uncharacterized. The record is from RefSeq and is a predicted model, not a curated record. The transcript is spliced from 3 exons. NCBI's taxonomy places the organism in Eukaryota, Metazoa, Chordata, Mammalia, Artiodactyla, Delphinidae.
UUACAACUCUGUAAUAAUUCUAAAUCCAAAUAGCUUAUAGUGAACACAAAUGAUAUUAAUAUAAUAUUCUCCAUAUUCUCCAUCUUCUUAUUAGGUGAAAACAUAUCAGAAAAUGAGAGGAGUCUCCACAAGUACGCGGGCCUCUGACUGUUGUGGCCUCUCCCGCCGCGGAGCACAGGCUCCGGACGCACAGGCUCAGCGGCCAUGGCUCACGGGCCCAGCUGCUCCGCGGCAUGUGGGAUCCUCCCGGACCGGGGCACGAACCCGUGUCCCCUGCAUCGGCAGGCAGACCCUCAACCACUGCGCCACCAGGGAAGCCCUCUUCAAGAUUUUUUAAUAGCACAGGCUCCGGACGCACAGGCUCAGCGGCCAUGGCUCACGGGCCCAGCCGCUCCGCGGCAUGUGGGAUCUUCCCGGACCGGGGCACGAACCUGUGUCCCCUGCAUCGGCAGGAGGACUCUCAACCACUGCGCCACCAGGGGAGCCCUUAUUGUGUUUUUUAACUUAAUUACCGUCAAAAAAAAAAUGUUUGUAUGCAUGUGGUUUGUUUUUGUAUAACCUUCCUUUAC